UGGGGAAUAUUGGACAAUGGGGGCAACCCUGAUCCAGCCAUGCCGCGUGUGUGAAGAAGGCCUUUUGGUUGUAAAGCACUUUAAGCAGGGAGGAGAGGCUAAUGGUUAAUACCCAUUAGAUUAGACGUUACCUGCAGAAUAAGCACCGGCUAACUCUGUGCCAGCAGCCGCGGUAAUACAGAGGGUGCGAGCGUUAAUCGGAAUUACUGGGCGUAAAGCGAGUGUAGGUGGCUCAUUAAGUCACAUGUGAAAUCCCCGGGCUUAACCUGGGAACUGCAUGUGAUACUGGUGGUGCUAGAAUAUGUGAGAGGGAAGUAGAAUUCCAGGUGUAGCGGUGAAAUGCGUAGAGAUCUGGAGGAAUACCGAUGGCGAAAGCAGCUUCCUGGNAUAAUAUUGACACAGAGAUUCGAAAAGCGUGGGUAGCAAACAGGAUUAGAUACCCUGGUAGUCCACGCCGUAAACGAUGUCUAUAGCCGUUGGGGUCUUGAGACUUUAGUGGCGCAGUUAACGCGAUAAGUAGACCGCCUGGGGAGUACGGCCGCAA
This 544-nucleotide ribosomal RNA is filed under the name uncultured bacterium. RNAcentral's name for it is "partial 16S ribosomal RNA". It matches the Rfam family "Bacterial small subunit ribosomal RNA", at positions 355 to 891 of the family's 1533-position model. The record is from RNAcentral.